Non-coding RNA from Cajanus cajan (pigeon pea), 123 nucleotides. The record is from Rfam. Lineage: Eukaryota; Viridiplantae; Streptophyta; Magnoliopsida; Fabales; Fabaceae.
CUGUAUCUUGAAGUUCCUCUGAACGCUUCACGAGUGGGCUAGAUUGUUCUAUAAGGUGUUACCCUUUAAAUAGAAUAGUCAUCUUCAGCCAAGUGAAGUGUUUGGGGGAACUUUUAGGUACAA